RNAcentral lists this ribosomal RNA (778 nucleotides) under Nostoc punctiforme UTEX B 1629. RNAcentral describes it as "bacterial LSU rRNA". It matches the Rfam family "Bacterial large subunit ribosomal RNA", at positions 901 to 1746 of the family's 2925-position model. The record is from RNAcentral. Lineage: Bacteria; Bacillati; Cyanobacteriota; Cyanophyceae; Nostocales; Nostocaceae.
GGKUAAAGCACUGUUUCGGUGCGGGCUGGGAGACCGGUACCAAAUCGAKWCRAACUUCAGRAUACCCAGAGCACACAUUGCCAGUGAGACGGUGGGGGAUAAGCUUCAUCGUCAAGAGGGAAACAGCCCAGACCACCAGCUAAGGUCCCCAAAUCAUCGCUAAGUGAUAAAGGAGGUGGGAAUGCACAGACAACUAGGAGGUUUGCCUAGAAGCAGCCACCCUUGAAAGAGUGCGUAAUAGCUCACUAGUCAAGCGUUCCUGCGCCGAAAAUGAACGGGGCUAAGCGAUGUACCGAAGCUGUGGAUUAGUGAAUAACUAAUGGUAGGGGAGCGUUCCGUGGUAGGAAGAAGCAGUAGCGGCAAGCAGCUGUGGACGAGACGGAAGUGAGAAUGUCGGCUUGAGUAGCGCAAAUAUUGGUGAGAAUCCAAUACCCCGAAACCCUAAGGGUUCCUCCGCCAGGUUCGUCCUCGGAGGGUUAGUCGGGUCCUAAGGCGAGGUCGAAAGGCGUAGUCGAUGGACACAGGGUGAAUAAUCCCUGACUAUGAUGUGGGAGCAUUAUUAGGGACGCAUGAGAGAUAGCCACACCCUGAUUGGUUUGGGAGACGGUUACGACCGUCGAGUGGUGAAGAAUAGUGCCAAGAAAAGCUAGUAAUGUGAUGAACACAUUGUACCCGUACCCGWAAMCGACACAGGUAGGGARSUUGAGUAUACCAAGGGGCGCGARAUMACUCUCUCUAAGGAACUCGGCAAAAUGGCCCCGUAACUUCGGGGAGAAGG